RNAcentral lists this ribosomal RNA (1439 nucleotides) under uncultured organism. RNAcentral's name for it is "partial small subunit ribosomal RNA". It matches the Rfam family "Bacterial small subunit ribosomal RNA". The record is from RNAcentral.
AUGACGAACGCUGGCGGCGUGCUUAACACAUGCAAGUCGAACGGAAAGGCCCUGCUUUUGUGGGGUGCUCGAGUGGCGAACGGGUGAGUAACACGUGAGUAACCUGCCCUUGACUUUGGGAUAACUUCAGGAAACUGGGGCUAAUACCGGAUAGGAGCUCCUGCUGCAUGGUGGGGGUUGGAAAGUUUCGGCGGUUGGGGAUGGACUCGCGGCUUAUCAGCUUGUUGGUGGGGUAGUGGCUUACCAAGGCUUUGACGGGUAGCCGGCCUGAGAGGGUGACCGGCCACAUUGGGACUGAGAUACGGCCCAGACUCCUACGGGAGGCAGCAGUGGGGAAUAUUGCACAAUGGGCGGAAGCCUGAUGCAGCAACGCCGCGUGCGGGAUGACGGCCUUCGGGUUGUAAACCGCUUUCGCCUGUGACGAAGCGUGAGUGACGGUAAUGGGUAAAGAAGCACCGGCUAACUACGUGCCAGCAGCCGCGGUGAUACGUAGGGUGCGAGCGUUGUCCGGAUUUAUUGGGCGUAAAGGGCUCGUAGGUGGUUGAUCGCGUCGGAAGUGUAAUCUUGGGGCUUAACCCUGAGCGUGCUUUCGAUACGGGUUGACUUGAGGAAGGUAGGGGAGAAUGGAAUUCCUGGUGGAGCGGUGGAAUGCGCAGAUAUCAGGAGGAACACCAGUGGCGAAGGCGGUUCUCUGGGCCUUUCCUGACGCUGAGGAGCGAAAGCGUGGGGAGCGAACAGGCUUAGAUACCCUGGUAGUCCACGCUGUAAACGGUGGGUACUAGGUGUGGGGUCCAUUCCACGGGUUCCGUGCCGUAGCUAACGCUUUAAGUACCCCGCCUGGGGAGUACGGCCGCAAGGCUAAAACUCAAAGGAAUUGACGGGGCCCCGCACAAGCGGCGGAGCAUGCGGAUUAAUUCGAUGCAACGCGUAGAACCUUACCUGGGUUUGACAUGGAUCGGGAGUGCUCAGAGAUGGGUGUGCCUCUUUUGGGGUCGGUUCACAGGUGGUGCAUGGCUGUCGUCAGCUCGUGUCGUGAGAUGUUGGGUUAAGUCCCGCAACGAGCGCAACCCUUGUUCACUGUUGCCAGCACGUUAUGGUGGGGACUCAGUGGAGACCGCCGGGGUCAACUCGGAGGAAGGUGGGGAUGACGUCAAGUCAUCAUGCCCCUUAUGUCCAGGGCUUCACGCAUGCUACAAUGGCUGGUACAGAGAGUGGCGAGCCUGUGAGGGUGAGCGAAUCUCGGAAAGCCGGUCUCAGUUCGGAUUGGGGUCUGCAACUCGACCUCAUGAAGUCGGAGUCGCUAGUAAUCGCAGAUCAGCAACGCUGCGGUGAAUACGUUCCCGGGGCUUGUACACACCGCCCGUCAAGUCAUGAAAGUUGGUAACACCCGAAGCCGGUGGCCUAACCGUUGUGGGGGAGCCGUCGAAGGUGGGACUGGU